This 76-nucleotide transfer RNA is filed under the name Rikenellaceae bacterium. RNAcentral's name for it is "tRNA-Gly". It matches the Rfam family "tRNA". Rfam says of the family: Transfer RNA (tRNA) molecules are approximately 80 nucleotides in length. Their secondary structure includes four short double-helical elements and three loops (D, anti-codon, and T loops). The record is from RNAcentral. Lineage: Bacteria; Pseudomonadati; Bacteroidota; Bacteroidia; Bacteroidales; Rikenellaceae.
GCGGAAUUAGCUCAGUUGGUAGAGCGUUGGCUUCCCAAGCCGAAGGUCACGAGUUCGAGCCUCGCAUUCCGCUCUA